CACACAGGAGCCGAUUGUCAUGUGUGCUUCCUCACAGGGCUAUUUUGGUCAUUUCAAUGCUUCAGAUCAGGGAUAUUAUGGUAAUUUCAACUGUUUAUUCUUGCUGGCUUCUUCAUACUAAUACACGUGUCUCCAUUGUUUCAACAACUAUUCAUUCUCAAUUGUUCUUUUCCCUUACCAAGCAUAUCGACAUUUUCUGAAGAAUUAUUUUCGAGUUUCAGGUUCGUCUCUUCUCAUUAUGUGCUUGAUUAUGAUUCCUUUAAUUUCAAUUUUAGCUUAUUCAGUGGAAUGCUUGUUUUUGUGCGAAUUGGGGGUGAAAAAUUUGUGGCUCAUUCUUUAUUUUCUCGGUUUCUCUUUCAAAUCAUGGGGUUUAUUUUACUUGUACUUGCGAUUUUAUUGUUUGAAUGUCCAAAUAAUUUAGGGGAAAUAAGUUGUGACGUAUUUUUUGGAUUAACUGUUUUAUUCUUUGGUGUAUCUUUUGCUCCCUAUCUGUUUGUGAUAAUUCUCCAUCGAAGCUGCUUGUUUGGAUUCUAAGUUUAGGCUGUAGUCUUCUGAUUUUUCCCAGCUAAUUGGAGUAUAUUGAUGGUCGUUAGGUGCUAAAGUUGAAUAGGUACAGUGUAAGCUAUCGUUGGUUAGGCCCACUGUUAUAGCAGUGCAUGUUUACAGUGGUUUGAAAAAUAAACUUUUCCAAAAGGACGAACUGGAUGUUUACUUGGGGCUUCAGAAAUAGUUGAGAAAGUAAGUUUGUAAUGUCAUCGAGACGUUAACAUUCUAAGUAGCGUAUGCUUACUGUUUUCUUGCCUCUUCUCAUAUUACAUUACCACACUAUUUUUAGCAUUUUGAGUUUCAUAACUAAUGAGUUGAUCAAUAAAUAAGGUUGUCUUGAUAAGUGUUUUGUCCAUGUUAGAAAUCCCUCAAAGUUUGAAUCUUUAACUGUGAUUGUUGAUUUAUUGUUAUGGUUUAGCUUAUGUGUUUUGUCCAUGUUAGAACCAAUUCAUGUACUACUCAUCUUCAGCUUUUUGUACGUGACACUUUUCAAACGCUUCUAAUCGUGUAGAUUUAUUUGAAAAAUGAAGAAACAGAUUCGCAACAUCUUCCUUUGUUGAGUAAUCUGCUCUCCAAUUUGAUUUGGAAUUGUCUUUAUAAUUCAGUAGUGAAUCUAUAAUGUUGAUUACGAGUCUAUUUAAAUCUUUGCUUUAACUAUGAAUUUAUUUUAACCAUUUCUUGCACUUCUGUACACAUGAAUUCUUAUACUUUAAGCUCUAUUUAAAUCUCCCUUUUUCAAGAUCGAAAAUCGUCAUCGAUGUUAACUUAGUUGUUACACCAAAAUCAGCCAUAAAUGGCAAUCCUUUCAACGAUGUCUUCUUUAAGUUAAUAUAUCUCUUAAUGUACCAUUCGGAUUGACGAUCUUCUGGUUUUGUUGGACAAUGAAGUCAAAGAGCUUAAUUCUACUGAACUUUCAUAGGUCAGUAAAGUUUAGAAUAUGUACUGACAUAGUAUAUUUGAUGUCUUUCCUUACAAAUAUAGGUUUCGACCCCAUUACUAUCUGAAGCUCGCUGUUCUGGUUAAAUUUGUGAAUGCUUAUUUGACAAAUGAUUGGAUGCUUGGAGUUGCCUUUCGUACUAGGUAUGCAUUAUCUGAAAGCGUAAUAGUACUUUAUUUGACAGUUUCAACGAUUCCCCUCUAUUUGCUUUCACAUUCGAUUUGCCGUUUUCUGCUUCUCUCCCUUGUGACUUCUGUAAUUUCUUCUAAAUAGUCUACUCACUCAAGACUUAGCUGGAAUUCAACCAGUUGAGAUUCCCUCUGUUGAGAAUGUAAGUUCGAUGUUACCAUUUCUUUCUGUAUCGCAGUUUUUUCCAUUUACUUGAACUUUAAUUUCUUUACAGGUUGAUGUAACUGAAUUCAUUGAGGGCCAUUACUUAUUAUCCUGUAUUUGGUCAUCGUGCUAUAAAAACAUAGAUCUUACAGUUCUUAUUUUAGAAAUAUUGCUUCUCUUAUUCUGAGUGCAUAGGUAGACCACAGAUUUAUCAAUUGUAAAGCUUCUGUAGUGUGAAUAAGCUUAUGAAACAAGAAUAUGCUUCUUUUAUGAGAAGUAGGCUAGCUAAAUUUUGCUUCCUGCUUUUGUUUCCAAAGAGAAUAUAGUUAGGGGAUAUCAUGUAGUCAUUUGGAAUUUAUCAUCACAAUAGUUUGGGGAUGACUGAAGGAGAGCCUUGGUAAAGUUGCUAUCAUGAAAUUAGGAGGUCAUGGGUUCAAGCCGUGAAAAUAGCCCCUCGUAGAAAUGUAAGUUGAGCUUGUGUACUAUAGACUUGUGCUCUGGCCCUUCUGCGGACGCAACUUGGUUUAAUUGUAUUUGUUAUAAUUCAAAACUGGACAUAUUAGCUUAGAGGGAAGAGAAAGUCAAGACAACCACAAACAUAGCAUGAGUACUGCUCAUUUGGGAAAUGUUGGAAGAUAUGUGAACUUUUUCUUACAUUGAUUAAGACGCGAGUUUCGACAUGGUACCUUAUAUGUCAAUAAAUUGUGUACCUAAGGGCAUUUUUGACUUUUUAUAAGGUUUCUUGUGCAACGUGUCUUUCAACAUGUGCACCUAUAUAGCCACGUAUCCUUUUUUGCUUCCUUUUAGAUAUAUUUCAUUCUUUCUCUUUGUCCGUCUAUAUUUGUUAUCUGAUAUUUUCUUACAUGAAAUCCACCAUUACCUCCAACGCAGAUUGAAAGUGAACAAAUUUUAUCAUAAAAUAUAGCAUGUUCCAAAAGCUUACAUGCACUUAAAAUUCAUAACGGCUGCUUUUCUACUUAUCUAUAUAAUGUCUAGCUUAGAUAUAUUUUGUUCUUUUAUGUCUUUGAUAUUUUAAUUAUUCGAAAUAUCUGUAUAUUAAAGCAAUUUUUGUGACUUUCCCUUGAAUUUUUUGCAGAUACUCUUCACCAAAUGUGACCGAGAGAAUUGACAAAGCAAUGCUUGGCUACUAGCAAAUUUAGCUGGUUCAAGUGUGAUAUAUCUGAGAUGAACUUGACUCUCUUAGCUCUACAAUUUUUUAAGAGUCCUUAGAAGGUGAGGAGUAACAAAUCUUACGCCAUGAAAGCAGAAAGCAAAAACAACAAAUAAAUGAAGAAAUUGAGUAUGGUGCCUCAUAAUAUCAAUUUGAUAGAUUUCAUAGUAGUAAGUACUUACAUUAGAGAUGGUUUGUGUAUGCAGAAGUAUAAUAAUAAAGUAACAGUUUUUUGUCAAAAUGACUUAGCAUGGAAUAGUCACCUUCUACCUUUUGAAUUUUAGUCAAUAGAAUAAGUUGUUUUCCCCCUCAAGAAGCUGAAGCAAUGUGAGAGACCCAGAAAAGCAAAAUAGGUAUUUUAGCGUCUUAAGUUGUAAAUUUUUGUUAGUGAACUGGAACAUUUUAUAGUUUGACAUUGUGAAUGAAAACAACAGAUGUAAAUUCUUUGCAGGACUUAAAGCUGGAAAAAAUUUCACCAUUCUUUAACCAUCUUUUUAUUCAAGUGAUGGUUUACUUUCACAUCUGGACUUUCAAUGUGAAAAAUAUAAAGAAGCUUAAACGCAUAAAUAAUACUCUCUAUUAUAUUGCUGCCUCCAGAAUGUAUAACUAAGGCCAAGGUACCUGCUCCUCUACUGCAAGUAAUAGAACAUGUUUUUCUUGCCGAUAAAAGCUAAAACACAUGUUCUUUGUUCUCUGUAUGCAUCUCCUCUUACGUAUUACCGUAAUUGUUGGCUGCUUUUUCAUACAGCUAUUCUGCUUUAUUUUUACGAGGGAUUUCGGACUUUUAAUUCACUCAAACUGUUUCUGUGUGGUUUCUUGGAAGAUACAUACUUGGACGCAUAAAAAUGUCAUCUUGCUUGGUUUUCAACUUUUAAUUGUAAUAGGCGAUGUUUCGAAAUUUAUUCUCCUAGUAGAAUCCCUAUUUCUUCCUACGUUUCAAAAUCUUAAGAUGUUAUGAAUGGGCCGAAAGUAGUUAUGGUAAAGCAACCCAAUACCAUAUUAAGUGGCUAUGUGUAGGAUAUGAGUUAAUAAAUAGAAUAUUUUAGUAAGAAUAGAUUUAUGAAAAUUGUGAUAAUUGCUGAGGCAAAGCUAUGCUUCUUAUCCCCAAUUCUCUCUAAUCUUCUUCUUCAUAUUGUAAUUUCUUCUUCCUGUAUUAAUCAAAGUUAAUUAGUUUCGUUCAGUUUGUGUAUUGAUUGUUGAGUUGAUAAUUCGAGAUCGUUACAUUGGUGCUUUCAUCUAGAGGUCUCUCAAAUGGAGGACUAAAAAGUACUCAAGGCAUUUGUUGAUGAUCCAGUUCGUGAUUCAAUCAAACAAAUGAAGGAUUCUAUCUCUAAAGAUCUCGUUGAAUUUAGGUUGAUGUUGCUGGGCGUUUUGGGUAAAAAUCCCACGACCACUUUUGAACCCCCAAAAAACAGUUAUGGACGUCAAAUUAGGGAAGUUUCGUGGCGAGAAUUCGGAGGCCUGGAUAGUUCAAGCAGAGCAUUAUUUCACUUUCUAUAAAAUUAAGGAAGAUCCAAAGCUCACCGUGGCUUCGUUCUAUUUUGAUGGUGAAGCAUUGGAGUGGUACCAGUGGUUAUUAAGGAAUAAUCAAUUAAUUGAUUGGCCAUAUUUCGCUGAUAAGGUAAGAAUUCGAUUUAAACAAAAAGGAUUGGAGUUUGCGGGAGGGAGAUUCGCAAAUCUCAGGCAUGUAGCUUCCGUGAUUGAGAACCAAAGUCGUUUUGAGGCUAGCUCAUCGGGCUUUGGCAAAUUGGAUGCACACAAGGUGUUUGAUGAAAAGCCGGACAGGAAAACUGAAAAUGUUGUGGAUAUUGAAACAUUUCUUCAAACACCGGAUGCUAUGAAACAAAAGGGUGAAUAUGAGGAUACAUCAUUACAAGUUAAAACUGAGGGGGCUAAAAAUUUGCUAAAUCAAGCAAAACAGGAGAUCCACAAUUUAGAGGAGAUAGCCAAUUUAGAUUUGCAUGACAAAGAAGAGGAUCCCUUGCCUCUUGAUCUUGUUGUUGCAGAUACAAAUGUUCGAAGAGGCGAAUCAUUGCAGAGCACAGAAACAGGUGCUCAGGUUAUAGUAAACGAAGCAUAGCUUUGCCUAAGCAAUUAUCACAAUUUUCAUAAAUCUAUUCUUACUAAAAUGUUCUAUUUAUUAACCCAUAUCCCACACAUAGCCACUUAAUGUGGUAUUGGGCUGCUUUACCAUAACUACUUUCGGCCCAUUCAUAACAAUACUUUCGCCCUAAAAAAGAACCUUGUCCUCAAGGUUUAAGUAAGGAAGAGCAUCCUCGACUUCAGUUAGAUUAGUAAGCAACGAAGAAGUAACUUGGUUGGCAGCCUAGAUUAUUGUAGACGUGGCUACAUCAUUCUUGUUUAGCUGCUGACUAACAUGGCAAAGAUAUGUAAAAAGAUGACCUGCAAUGCCCUCAUCGUUACCUGCUUUCUUGACAUCUAUUCCUUCUCUUCCAAAUGACAUAAUCACAUAAUCGGCCAAACUAUAGGCAUUAGUAUUAAAUAAUGGAAUGCUAAGAAUAUCAUCUAGAGUACUAUUAGGAUCAAAAGAACCUCUGGGAGCACUUGAAAUAUGAUACUGACAGUACUCAGUAACACGCUCAGAUCCAUCGAAGCUAAAAUUAUCCAUCUUUAAGUACCAAUGAACGGUUUUAAAAGCUCCCUCCACCAAAUCUCUCCAUUGCCACUGCUGCCUCUCCACCAAAUCUCUCCAUCGCCACUGUUAUCAACCAAUUACAACCAUGUUUUUCUUUAUUUCCAGUAAAAUAUUCACUUCUUAAUUUUAAAUCUUCCCACUCCUGUAGCAUGGCAACAAUUGCAGGUGUUGCGAGUUGUCUAUUACGACUGAAGUUAACAGCAAAAAUACAGCCAUUUGUCUUGGAAUUAAUCCCACUAAUUAUGGCAAAACCAUCGACGUCAAAUUCCUUUGCUAUUUCAACCAACUGAUCAACUUGGGCAGUGAAAUCUAAUAGUAAAGCUGAGAAAGGUGGUUUGGGAAGUGGUUGUGACAACUAAUGCCGACCAGUUUGUACACCCACCUUGCCAUUGGACAUAUCAUUAAACAACUUGCCACUUUCCACAGUACCAUCAAGAACAAAUACACUAGAAUAUAGUGUAAUAGACAAGUAGUUCGAUAUAGCCAAAUGUAUAUCGAAGCUCUCGAACAUAAUGGAUGGAGAAACUGACUCACCAGGAUCAAAUGGAAAAUGCAUAGAUGCAUGCUUGUGCAUCAAUCUGGUUCCUUUCAAAAUCACGGGGUCACUUCUUUCCCAGAGUGAGUCGACUUGUUCAUUGUUAACCAAAUGUUGCCUGGCUCCUUGAAAAUAAAUACCAAACAACUUUUGUGCUUCAUUUACUAUAUAGUUAGGCAAAACUAUGCUUCUCAUCCCUAAUUCUCUCUAAUCUUCUCAUCCCCAUCUACUAUUCUUCUUCUUCUUCAUAUUGUAAUUUCUUCUUCCCGUAUUAAUCAAAGUUAAUUAGUUUCGUUCAGUUUGUGUAUUGAUUGUUGAGUUGAUAAUUCGAGAUCGUUACAUAAGAACUCUUUAGGUUAUGAUCUACUAUGAGGUCAAGAGGACAUAAUUAGAUACAAUAUUACUCUGCAUAACUGUCUUCUGUGGAAAAUCUGAUUAUACAUGAGUUCAUGUUACUGCAGGUCUCAUUGUGAUCAUUUUUGGAACAGUACCUGUAUUGCACAUAAGACUAAUGUCACGAGCAGCAGAACAAUUAUAACAACGACCUCACCAUGAUGAUGACAAUAUCUGUACAUGCACCAUUUGUAUCCAUAGGCACACCCUCAGUUGAACCUAAGUAUUCUAAAUAAUAUUAGUAUGUAAAGAUAAAUUUCUUAUGCGGUGAUCAGAAUGGGAUCUUCUGUCUUCAUGCACAUAUAUGCCUUUUGUCUUGUUCCCUUGUAAUGUUAUUUUACCUCAAAUGCAUUACAAUUUUACAGAACUACAAUUUUUCUAUGCUCAAGAAGUGAGCUUUAUAUAUUUCUUGAAGGAAUUUUGAAG
This 6997-nucleotide long non-coding RNA is filed under the name Capsicum annuum. Its description in RNAcentral is "long non-coding RNA (CANN_LNC011632)". The record is from RNAcentral. Lineage: Eukaryota; Viridiplantae; Streptophyta; Magnoliopsida; Solanales; Solanaceae.